This 85-nucleotide transfer RNA is filed under the name Candidatus Levybacteria bacterium RIFCSPHIGHO2_01_FULL_37_33. RNAcentral describes it as "tRNA-Leu". It matches the Rfam family "tRNA". Rfam says of the family: Transfer RNA (tRNA) molecules are approximately 80 nucleotides in length. Their secondary structure includes four short double-helical elements and three loops (D, anti-codon, and T loops). Further hydrogen bonds mediate the characteristic L-shaped molecular structure. tRNAs have two regions of fundamental functional importance: the anti-codon, which is responsible for specific mRNA codon recognition, and the 3' end, to which the tRNAs corresponding amino acid is attached (by aminoacyl-tRNA synthetases). tRNAs cope with the degeneracy of the genetic code in two manners: having more than one tRNA (with a specific anti-codon) for a particular amino acid; and 'wobble' base-pairing, i.e. permitting non-standard base-pairing at the 3rd anti-codon position. RNAcentral also lists the same sequence under 5 other names. Lineage: Bacteria; Candidatus Levyibacteriota. The record is from RNAcentral.
GUCCAGAUGGAGAAAUUGGCAAACUCGCUACCUUGAGGUGGUAGUGCCGAAAGGCUUGGGGGUUCAAGUCCCCCUCUGGACACAA